CGAGUGAAGCGGGAAAAGCUCAAAUUUAAAAUCUGGCGGUCUCCGGCCGUCCGAGUUGUAAUCUAGAGAAGUGUUAUCCGCGCUGGACCGUGUACAAGUCUCCUGGAAUGGAGCGUCAUAGAGGGUGAGAAUCCCGUCUUUGACACGGACUGCCAGGGCUUUGUGAUGCGCUCUCAAAGAGUCGAGUUGUUUGGGAAUGCAGCUCAAAAUGGGUGGUAAAUUCCAUCUAAAGCUAAAUAUUGGCGAGAGACCGAUAGCGAACAAGUACCGUGAGGGAAAGAUGAAAAGAACUUUGGAAAGAGAGUUAAACAGUACGUGAAAUUGCUGAAAGGGAAACGCUUGAAGUCAGUCGCGUUGGCCGGGGAUCAACCUUGCUUUUGCUGGGCGUACUUUCCGGUUGACGGGUCAGCAUCAAUUUUGACCGUUGGAUAAAGUCUAGGGGAAUGUGGCAUCUUCGGAUGUGUUAUAGCCCUUGGUCGCAUACAACGGUUGGGAUUGAGGAACUCAGCACGCCGCAAGGCCGGGUACUUGUACCACGUUCGUGCUUAGGAUGCUGGCAUAAUGGCUUUAAUCGACCCGUCUUGAAACACGGACCAAGGAGUCUAACAUGCCUGCGAGUGUUUGGGUGGAAAACUCGGACGCGUAAUGAAAGUGAAAGUUGAGAUCCCUGUCGCGGGGAGCAUCGACGCCCGGACCAGACCUUUUGUGACGGAUCCGCGGUAGAGCAUGUAUGUUGGGACCCGAAAGAUGGUGAACUAUGCCUGAAUAGGGUGAAGCCAGAGGAAACUCUGGUGGAGGCUCGUAGCGAUUCUGACGUGCAAAUCGAUCGUCAAAUUUGGGUAU
RNAcentral lists this ribosomal RNA (843 nucleotides) under Hebeloma subtortum. RNAcentral describes it as "eukaryotic LSU rRNA". It matches the Rfam family "Eukaryotic large subunit ribosomal RNA", at positions 90 to 918 of the family's 3401-position model. Lineage: Eukaryota; Fungi; Basidiomycota; Agaricomycetes; Agaricales; Hymenogastraceae. The record is from RNAcentral.